GGCCAGUUAGCUCAGUUGGUUAGAGCUUGGUGUUUAUAACACCAAGGUUAUGGGUUCAGAUCCCCAUCCUGGCCA
Non-coding RNA from Cynocephalus volans (Philippine flying lemur), 75 nucleotides. Lineage: Eukaryota; Metazoa; Chordata; Mammalia; Dermoptera; Cynocephalidae. The record is from the annotation of a RefSeq genome assembly.